ACGGAGAAUGCGACGGGAGUGGCGGAACAGCCCUAUCACUACCAGCAACCCGAUGAAGACUCAGAGGUGAGCUGUGAGCCACCUGUGGAGGCCAGCGAGGAGCAGCAACAGCAACAGCACGAGGUUCAGCCUCAAAGCAACAUUAAUUCCGAACAGGACCCCGACAAGAUUCAUGAGAAUUUUAACGAUGUCCUGGAGUUCAUACAACAGCGUAUCCUGCCCACUCUGCGGUAAAAUGAAUGAUAAAUGAAAUGUAUUGGAGUUGGUGAAAUAAAUGUAAUGCGGAACCGGAAUCGGUUUUAAAGCACUUAUUUUAGCUGUAA
Drosophila miranda is the source of this 323-nucleotide long non-coding RNA. RefSeq lists it as uncharacterized. The record is from RefSeq and is a predicted model, not a curated record. NCBI's taxonomy places the organism in Eukaryota, Metazoa, Arthropoda, Insecta, Diptera, Drosophilidae. The transcript has 2 exons.